GUCAGGAUGGCCGAGCGGUCCAAGGCGCCAGACUCAAGGACUGAAUCCUUCCUGGUCAAAGGGACUUCUGGUCUCCAAAUGGAGGCGUGGGUUCAAAUCCCACUCCUGACA
This 111-nucleotide transfer RNA is filed under the name Hippoglossus stenolepis (Pacific halibut). RNAcentral's name for it is "tRNA-Leu". It matches the Rfam family "tRNA". From Rfam's summary of the family: Transfer RNA (tRNA) molecules are approximately 80 nucleotides in length. The record is from RNAcentral. Lineage: Eukaryota; Metazoa; Chordata; Actinopteri; Pleuronectiformes; Pleuronectidae.